CCUACGGGAGGCAGCAGUGGGGAAUAUUGCGCAAUGGACGCAAGCCUGAAGCAGCGACGCCGCGUGAGGGAUGACGGUCUUAGGAUCGUUAAACUCUGUCAGCAGGGAGGAACGGUCACUGUGCUAAUCAGCAGUGAAUUGACGGUACCUGCAAAGGAAGCACCGGCUAACUCCGUGCCAGCAGCCGCGGUAAUACGGAGGGUGCGAGCGUUAAUCGGAAUUACUGGGUGUAAAGGGCUCGUAGGCGGUAGGUCAAGUCAAGGGUGAAAUCCCCGGGCUCAACGUGGGAACUGCCUUUGAAACUGGCGAACUGGAGAGUGGUAGAGGAUAGUGGAAUGCCAGGUGUAGGGGUGAAAUCCGUAGAGAUCUGAAGGAACAUCAGUGGCGAAGGCGACUAUCUGGCACAUAACUGACGCUGAGGAGCGAAAGCGUGGGGAGCAAACAGGAUUAGAUACCCGUGUAGUC
RNAcentral lists this ribosomal RNA (465 nucleotides) under uncultured bacterium. RNAcentral's name for it is "partial 16S ribosomal RNA". It matches the Rfam family "Bacterial small subunit ribosomal RNA", at positions 338 to 795 of the family's 1533-position model. The record is from RNAcentral.